AGUGAACGCUGGCGGCAGGCCUAACACAUGCAAGUCGAACGGCAGCACAGAGGAGCUUGCUCCUUGGGUGGCGAGUGGCGGACGGGUGAGGAAUACGUCGGAAUCUGCCUAUUUGUGGGGGAUAACGUAGGGAAACUUACGCUAAUACCGCAUACGACCUUAGGGUGAAAGCGGAGGACCUUCGGUCGUUCGCGCAGAUAGAUGAGCCGACGUCGGAUUAG
Molecule: ribosomal RNA, 221 nt
Filed under: uncultured bacterium
Lineage: Bacteria
Description: partial 16S ribosomal RNA
Rfam family: Bacterial small subunit ribosomal RNA
Source: RNAcentral